CCUGAAUAUAAGGCAUUGUAAUUUACACACUUUAUAAACUUUUCUGUUUAAAUAUUGUCAUUGAUUUUUGAUCAGAGGAAAUGUUCAGUUUGGGUUUCUGUAGCUCACUUCUUUUAGAAGAAAUAGGCUAUUGAAUCCCAUCUCUCUGAAAUUUUGCUUUUUCACCAAGGAAGGCAAAAAGAUGCUGCCCUGACAUAGCAGGGUGCAAAGCUCCCUUUUUUGUUUCAGGACCCUUUAAGCUGUUGCCAUCUCUUUUUUUUUUUUUUUUUUUUUUUUUUCUUUUCUGCACAGCCAUUCUUUGGGUGCUGCUUCUGUCUGGCUGGAGACCCUGCUUGCAGUUACCUGCUUCUGUGAAGGAGCUUAGCCUGGCUCUCAAAAUGAAGACUUUCAGGUCCAGGCAAAGAGAAGAUGGAAAGUUGUGGGAGAGCUGUGCAUGGAACAAGAGCCUUCAAAUCCUGGACAGACCUCAUGGGCAGCUGGCAGGUUUCUGUAGUUCCUGCAGCAGGAGAGGGCAGCCUGGAGGACCUUAGCAGCUGCAGAAGGGUAUGCUAGAAAAUGAAGCAGGGGUAGAUGAUUUCUGUGGCAGAAUGAAGUUAGAACUGGAACUCAGAAAA
Molecule: long non-coding RNA, 614 nt
Filed under: Anas platyrhynchos platyrhynchos (common mallard)
Lineage: Eukaryota; Metazoa; Chordata; Aves; Anseriformes; Anatidae
Description: lncRNA (ENSAPLG00000028432.1)
Source: RNAcentral